Molecule: ribosomal RNA, 402 nt
Filed under: uncultured bacterium
Lineage: Bacteria
Description: bacterial SSU rRNA
Rfam family: Bacterial small subunit ribosomal RNA
Source: RNAcentral
GGGAUAUUGGACAAUGGGGGGAACCCUGAUCCAGCGACGCCGCGUGAGUGAAGAAGUAUCUCGGUAUGUAAAGCUCUAUCAGCAGGGAAGAAAGAAAUGACGGUACCUGAGUAAGAAGCCCCGGCUAACUACGUGCCCGCAGCCGCGGUAAUACGUAGGGGGCAAGCGUUAUCCGGAUUUACUGGGUGUAAAGGGAGCGUAGACGGUGAUGCAAGUCAGAAGUGAAAGCCCGGGGCUCAACUCCGGGACUGCUUUUGAAACUGUGUAACUGGAGUGCAGGAGAGGUAAGCGGAAUUCCUAGUGUAGCGGUGAAAUGCGUAGAUAUUAGGAGGAACACCAGUGGCGAAGGCGGCUUCCUGGACUGUAACUGACGUUGAGGCUCGAAAGCGUGGGGAGCAAACA